UGGGUUUGUAAUGUGGUCAUG
This 21-nucleotide microRNA is filed under the name Capitella teleta. Its description in RNAcentral is "cte-miR-2696". The record is from miRBase by way of RNAcentral. Lineage: Eukaryota; Metazoa; Annelida; Polychaeta; Capitellidae.